UGGGGAAUUUUGGACAAUGGGCGCAAGCCUGAUCCAGCAAUGCCGCGUGCAGGAUGAAGGCCUUCGGGUUGUAAACUGCUUUUGUACGGAGCGAAAAGGUCUGCCCUAAUACGGUGGGCUCAUGACGGUACCGUAAGAAUAAGCACCGGCUAACUACGUGCCAGCAGCCGCGGUAAUACGUAGGGUGCGAGCGUUAAUCGGAAUUACUGGGCGUAAAGCGUGCGCAGGCGGUUAUAUAAGACAGAGGUGAAAUCCCCGGGCUCAACCUGGGAACUGCCUUUGUGACUGCAUAGCUAGAGUACGGUAGAGGGGGAUGGAAUUCCGCGUGUAGCAGUGAAAUGCGUAGAUAUGCGUAGGAACACCGAUGGCGAGGGCAAUCCCCUGGACCUGUACUGACGCUCAUGCACGAAAGCGUGGGGAGCAAACA
This 427-nucleotide ribosomal RNA is filed under the name uncultured bacterium. Its description in RNAcentral is "bacterial SSU rRNA". It matches the Rfam family "Bacterial small subunit ribosomal RNA", at positions 355 to 774 of the family's 1533-position model. The record is from RNAcentral.